AAAUUGAAGAGUUUGAUCAUGGCUCAGAUUGAACGCUGGCGGCAGGCCUAACACAUGCAAGUCGAACGGUAACAGGAAGAAGCUUGCUUCUUUGCUGACGAGUGGCGGACGGGUGAGUAAUGUCUGGGAAACUGCCUGAUGGAGGGGGAUAACUACUGGAAACGGUAGCUAAUACCGCAUAACGUCGCAAGACCAAAGAGGGGAACCUUCGGGCCUCUUGCCAUCGGAUGUGCCCAGAUGGGAUUAGCUAGUAGGUGGGGUAACGGCUCACCUAGGCGACGAUCCCUAGCUGGUCUGAGAGGAUGACCAGCCACACUGGAACUGAGACACGGUCCAGACUCCUACGGGAGGCAGCAGUGGGGAAUAUUGCACAAUGGGCGCAAGCCUGAUGCAGCCAUGCCGCGUGUAUGAAGAAGGCCUUCGGGUUGUAAAGUACUUUCAGCGGGGAGGAAG
RNAcentral lists this ribosomal RNA (453 nucleotides) under Escherichia coli. Its description in RNAcentral is "bacterial SSU rRNA". It matches the Rfam family "Bacterial small subunit ribosomal RNA", at positions 1 to 450 of the family's 1533-position model. The record is from RNAcentral. Lineage: Bacteria; Pseudomonadati; Pseudomonadota; Gammaproteobacteria; Enterobacterales; Enterobacteriaceae.